This 253-nucleotide ribosomal RNA is filed under the name uncultured bacterium. RNAcentral's name for it is "partial 16S ribosomal RNA". It matches the Rfam family "Bacterial small subunit ribosomal RNA", at positions 524 to 776 of the family's 1533-position model. The record is from RNAcentral.
UACGUAGGGUGCGAGCGUUAAUCGGAAUUACUGGGCGUAAAGCGUGCGCAGGCGGUUUUGUAAGUCAGACGUGAAAUCCCCGGGCUUAACCUGGGAAUGGCAUUUGGGACUGCAAGGCUGGAGUUUGGCAGAGGAGACUGGAAUUCCCGGUGUAGCAGUGAAAUGCGUAGAUAUCGGGAGGAAUACCGAUGGCGAAGGCAGGUCUCUGGGCUAUAACUGACGCUCAUGCACGAAAGCGUGGGGAGCAAACAGG